AAUCAACGCUGGCGGCGUGCCUCAGACAUGCAAGUCGAACGAGAAAGUUCCCUUCGGGGGAUGAGUAAAGUGGCGCACGGGUGAGUAACACGUAGGUAAUCUACCUUCGGGUGGGGAAUAACCCAGGGAAACUUGGGCUAACACCGCAUAAUGCAGCGGCACCACAUGGUGACAGUUGUUAAAGCGGGGGAUUUUAGGACCUCGCGCCUGGAGAGGAGCCUGCGGCGGAUUAGCUUGUUGGAAGGUAACGGCUUACCAAGGCGACGAUCCGUAACCGGCCUGAGAGGGCGGUCGGUCACACUGACACUGACAUACGGGUCAGACUCCUACGGGAGGCAGCAGUCGGGGAAUUUUGGGCAAUGGGCGAAAGCCUGACCCAGCAACGCCGCGUGAAGGAUGAAAUCCCUCGGGAUGUAAACUUCGCAAGAAUAGGAAGAAUUAGUAGGGGCUAACUACCCCCUAUGAUGACGGUACUAUCUGUAAGCUCCGGCUAACUCCGUGCCAGCAGCCGC
RNAcentral lists this ribosomal RNA (512 nucleotides) under uncultured bacterium. Its description in RNAcentral is "bacterial SSU rRNA". It matches the Rfam family "Bacterial small subunit ribosomal RNA", at positions 32 to 518 of the family's 1533-position model. The record is from RNAcentral.